AACGAACGCUGGCGGCAUGCCUAACACAUGCAAGUCGAACGAGACCUUCGGGUCUUUUGGCGCACGGGUUCGUAACGCGUGGGAACCUUCCCUUAGGGUCGGAAUAACUCCCCGACAGGGGUGCUAAUACCGGAUAAGAUCUUCGGACCAAAGAUUUAUCGCCUUUGGUUGGGCCCGCGUUGGAUUAGCUAGUUGGUAGGGUAAAAGCCUACCAAGGGGACGAUCCAUAGCUUGUCUGAGAGGAUGCUCAGCAACACUGGGAGUGAGACACGGCCCAGACUCCUACGGGAGGCAGCAGUGGGGAAUAGUGGAAACUGGGCGUAAGCCUGAUCCAGCAAUGCAGCGUGAGUGAUGAAGGCCUUAGGGUUGUAAAGCUCUUUUACCCGGGAUGAUAAUGACAGUACCGGGAGAAUAAGCCCCGGCUAACUCCGUG
Molecule: ribosomal RNA, 433 nt
Filed under: uncultured bacterium
Lineage: Bacteria
Description: partial 16S ribosomal RNA
Rfam family: Bacterial small subunit ribosomal RNA
Source: RNAcentral